RNAcentral lists this ribosomal RNA (800 nucleotides) under uncultured bacterium. RNAcentral's name for it is "bacterial SSU rRNA". It matches the Rfam family "Bacterial small subunit ribosomal RNA", at positions 8 to 817 of the family's 1533-position model. The record is from RNAcentral.
AGAGUUUGAUCCUGGCUCAGAAUGAACGUUGGCGGCGUGGAUUAGGCAUGCAAGUCGUACGCACAGCAAUGUGAGUGGCGCAAGGGUGAGUAAUGCGAAGGUAACCAACCCUGGAGUUGGGCAUAGCCGCGGGAAACUGCGGGUAAUUCCCAGCGAUGUCGCGAGAUGGCAUCAUCUUGCGACCAAAGGUGUGAUUCCGCUCUAGGACGGGCCUUCGUGGUAUUAGGUAGUUGGUGAGGUAACGGCUCACCAAGCCGACGAUGCCUACCGGGUGUGAGAGCAUGACCCGGCACACUGGAACUGAGACACUGUCCAGACACCUACGGGUGGCUGCAGUCGAGAAUCUUCGGCAAUGGGCGAAAGCCUGACCGAGCGACGCCGCGUGAGGGAAGAAGGCCUUCGGGUUGUAAACCUCUUUCGUAGAGGAGGAAGGGGCCGUGCAGAGCGGUCUUUGACCUAUUCUAGGAAGAAGCUUGGGCUAAGUUCGUGCCAGCAGCCGCGGUAAGACGAACCAAGCGAACGUUAUUCGGAAUUACUGGGCUUAAAGCGCGUGUAGGCGGAUGACCACGUCAGUCGUUGAAAUCCCCCGGCUCAACCGGGGAACAGGCGCUGAUACGAGUUGUCUGGAGGUGGGUAGGGGAGACUGGAACUUCCGGUGGAGCGGUGAAAUGCGUUGAGAUCGGAAGGAACGCCCGCGGCGAAAGCGAGUCUCUGGACCCAUUCUGACGCUGAGACGCGAAAGCCAGGGGAGCAAACGGGAUUAGAUACCCCGGUAGUCCUGGCUGUAAACAUUGGGCACU